RNAcentral lists this ribosomal RNA (467 nucleotides) under uncultured bacterium. RNAcentral describes it as "partial 16S ribosomal RNA". It matches the Rfam family "Bacterial small subunit ribosomal RNA", at positions 28 to 504 of the family's 1533-position model. The record is from RNAcentral.
GACGAACGCUGGCGGCGUGCUUAACACAUGCAAGUCGAACGGAAAGGCCCUGCUUUUGUGGGGUGCUCGAGUGGCGAACGGGUGAGUAACACGUGAGUAACCUGCCCUUGACUUUGGGAUAACUUCAGGAAACUGGGGCUAAUACCGGAUAGGAGCUCCUGCUGCAUGGUGGGGGUUGGAAAGUUUCGGCGGUUGGGGAUGGACUCGCGGCUUAUCAGCUUGUUGGUGGGGUAGUGGCUUACCAAGGCUUUGACGGGUAGCCGGCCUGAGAGGGUGACCGGCGCCAUUGGGGGUCAGAGACGGGGCAGAGACUUAUGGGGGGGGCAGCGGGGGAAUAUAUUGCACAGGGCGGGAGAGUGAGGCACCAAAGCGCCGCGUGGGAGAUGGGGCUUCUGGUGGUAUAACCCGUUCGCCCGUGAGGCGAAGGGAGAGUGGCGGUAGGGGGAAGAAAAGCCCGGGAGAUAUAC